Molecule: ribosomal RNA, 492 nt
Filed under: uncultured bacterium
Lineage: Bacteria
Description: partial 16S ribosomal RNA
Rfam family: Bacterial small subunit ribosomal RNA
Source: RNAcentral
AGUGAACGCUGGCGGUAGGCCUAACACAUGCAAGUCGAACGGCAGCACAGUAAGAGCUUGCUCUUACGGGUGGCGAGUGGCGGACGGGUGAGGAAUACAUCGGGAUCUACUUUUUCGUGGGGGAUAACGUAGGGAAACUUACGCUAAUACCGCAUACGACCUACGGGUGAAAGCAGGGGAUCUUCGGACCUUGCGCGAUUGAAUGAGCCGAUGUCGGAUUAGCUAGUUGGCGGGGUAAAGGCCCACCAAGGCGACGAUCCGUAGCUGGUCUGAGAGGAUGAUCAGCCACACUGGAACUGAGACACGGUCCAGACUCCUACGGGAGGCAGCAGUGGGGAAUAUUGGACAAUGGGCGCAAGCCUGAUCCAGCCAUACCGCGUGGGUGAUGAAGGCCUUCGGGUUGUAAAGCCCUUUUGUUGGGAAAGAAAAGCAGCAGGUUAAUACCCCGCUGUUCUGACGGUACCCAAAGAAUAAGCACCGGCUAACUUCGUG